UCUCCUGGAAAACGGGUGGUAAUGCCGGAUGCUCCAGUUGAUCGCAUGGUCUUUUGGGAAAGCCUUUGCGGCAUGGGAUGGGGUCGCGUCCUAUCAGCUUGAUGGCGGGGUAACGGCCCACCAUGGCUUCGACGGGUAGCCGGCCUGAGAGGGCGACCGGCCACAUUGGGACUGAGAUACGGCCCAGACUCCUACGGGAGGCAGCAGUGGGGAAUAUUGCACAAUGGGCGCAAGCCUGAUGCAGCGACGCCGCGUGAGGGAUGGAGGCCUUCGGGUUGUAAACCUCUUUUGUUAGGGAGCAAGGCAUUUUGUGUUGAGUGUACCUUUCGAAUAAGCACCGGCUAACUACGUGCCAGCAGCCGCGGUAAUACGUAGGGUGCAAGCGUUAUCCGGAAUUAUUGGGCGUAAAGGGCUCGUAGGCGGUUCGUCGCGUCCGGUGUGAAAGUCCAUCGCUUAACGGUGGAUCCGCGCCGGGUACGGGCGGGCUUGAGUGCGGUAGGGGAGACUGGAAUUCCCGGUGUAACGGUGGAAUGUGUAGAUAUCGGGAAGAACACCA
This 556-nucleotide ribosomal RNA is filed under the name Bifidobacterium breve. RNAcentral's name for it is "bacterial SSU rRNA". It matches the Rfam family "Bacterial small subunit ribosomal RNA", at positions 146 to 711 of the family's 1533-position model. Lineage: Bacteria; Bacillati; Actinomycetota; Actinomycetes; Bifidobacteriales; Bifidobacteriaceae. The record is from RNAcentral.